Molecule: non-coding RNA, 43 nt
Filed under: Schistosoma mansoni
Lineage: Eukaryota; Metazoa; Platyhelminthes; Trematoda; Strigeidida; Schistosomatidae
Source: RNAcentral
AGACUGAGGAGUCCCAUAAUAGGACGAAACGGCCGUCCAGUGU